UGGGGAAUAUUGGACAAUGGGGGAAACCCUGAUCCAGCAAUGCCGCGUGAGUGAAGAAGGCCUUAGGGUUGUAAAGCUCUUUCGCCCGCGAAGAUAAUGACGGUAGCGGGAGAAGAAGCCCCGGCUAACUCCGUGCCAGCAGCCGCGGUAAUACGGAGGGGGCUAGCGUUGUUCGGAAUUACUGGGCGUAAAGCGUACGUAGGCGGAUGCGCAAGUUGGGGGUGAAAUCCCGGGGCUUAACCUCGGAAGGGCACUGGAGACUGGGAGGCUAGAGUACCGGAGAGGAAGGUGGAAUUCCUGGUGUAGCGGUGAAAUGCGUUGAUAUCAGGAGGAACACCGGUGGCGAAGGCGGCCUUCUGGACGGCUACUGACGCUGAGACGCGAAAGCGUGGGGAGCAAACA
RNAcentral lists this ribosomal RNA (402 nucleotides) under uncultured bacterium. RNAcentral's name for it is "bacterial SSU rRNA". It matches the Rfam family "Bacterial small subunit ribosomal RNA", at positions 355 to 774 of the family's 1533-position model. The record is from RNAcentral.